Molecule: ribosomal RNA, 538 nt
Filed under: uncultured fungus
Lineage: Eukaryota; Fungi
Description: eukaryotic LSU rRNA
Rfam family: 5.8S ribosomal RNA (bases 184-337)
Source: RNAcentral
AAGUCGUAACAAGGUUUCCGUAGGUGAACCUGCGGAAGGAUCAUUACCGAGUGCGGACCCUCUGGGUCCAACCUCCCACCCGUGUUUAUUGUACCUUGUUGCUUCGGUGGGCGUACGCCCGCCGAAGACACCCUUGAACCCUGCCUGAAGAUUGUAGUCUGAGUGGAAUGAUAAAUUAGUUAAAACUUUCAACAACGGAUCUCUUGGUUCCGGCAUCGAUGAAGAACGCAGCGAAAUGCGAUACGUAAUGUGAAUUGCAGAAUUCAGUGAAUCAUCGAGUCUUUGAACGCACAUUGCACCCCCUGGUAUUCCGGGGGGUAUGCCUGUCCGAGCGUCAUUGCUACCCUCAAGCCCGGCUUGUGUGUUAGGUCUUAUCCCCCGUCCGGGGGAUAGGCCCGAAAGGCAGCGGCGGCACCGCGUCCGGUCCUCGAGCGUAUGGGGCUUUGUCACCCGCUCUGUAGGCCCGGCCGGCGCCUGCCGNUCAACCAAUUUCUUUCUAGGUUGACCUCGGAUCAGGUAGGGAUACCCGCUGAACUUA